RNAcentral lists this ribosomal RNA (502 nucleotides) under Nakaseomyces glabratus. RNAcentral's name for it is "LSU rRNA". It matches the Rfam family "Eukaryotic large subunit ribosomal RNA", at positions 62 to 566 of the family's 3401-position model. The record is from RNAcentral. Lineage: Eukaryota; Fungi; Ascomycota; Saccharomycetes; Saccharomycetales; Saccharomycetaceae.
AAACCAACUGGGAUUGCCUUAGUAACGGCGAGUGAAGCGGCAAAAGCUCAAAUUUGAAAUCUGGUACCUUUGGUGCCCGAGUUGUAAUUUGGAGAGUACCACUUUGGGACUGUACUUUGCCUAUGUUCCUUGGAACAGGACGUCAUGGAGGGUGAGAAUCCCGUGUGGCGAGGGUGUCAGUUCUUUGUAAAGGGUGCUCGAAGAGUCGAGUUGUUUGGGAAUGCAGCUCUAAGUGGGUGGUAAAUUCCAUCUAAAGCUAAAUACAGGCGAGAGACCGAUAGCGAACAAGUACAGUGAUGGAAAGAUGAAAAGAACUUUGAAAAGAGAGUGAAAAAGUACGUGAAAUUGUUGAAAGGGAAGGGCAUUUGAUCAGACAUGGUGUUUUGCGCCCCUUGCCUCUCGUGGGCUUGGGACUCUCGCAGCUCACUGGGCCAGCAUCGGUUUUGGCGGCCGGAAAAAACCUAGGGAAUGUGGCUCUGCGCCUCGGUGUAGAGUGUUAUAG